This 468-nucleotide ribosomal RNA is filed under the name uncultured bacterium. RNAcentral's name for it is "partial 16S ribosomal RNA". It matches the Rfam family "Bacterial small subunit ribosomal RNA", at positions 28 to 507 of the family's 1533-position model. The record is from RNAcentral.
GACGAACGCUGGCGGCGUGCUUAACACAUGCAAGUCGAACGGAAAGACCCUGCUUUUGUGGGGUGCUCGAGUGGCGAACGGGUGAGUAACACGUGAGUAACCUGCCCUUGACUUUGGGAUAACUUCAGGAAACUGGGGCUAAUACCGGAUAGGAGCUCCUGCUGCAUGGUGGGGGUUGGAAAGUUUCGGCGGCUGGGGAUGGACUCGCGGCUUAUCAGCUUGUUGGUGGGGUAGUGGCUUACCAAGGCUUUGACGGGUAGUCGGCCUGAGAGGGUGACCGGCCACAUUGGGACUGAGAUACGGCCCAGACUCCUACGGGAGGCAGCAGUGGGGAAUAUUGCACAAUGGGCGGAAGCCUGAUGCAGCAACGCCGCGUGCGGGAUGACGGCCUUCGGGUUGUAAACCGCUUUCGCCUGUGACGAAGCGUGAGUGGCGGUAAUGGGUAAAGAAGCACCGGCUAACUACGUG